RNAcentral lists this ribosomal RNA (419 nucleotides) under Priestia megaterium. Its description in RNAcentral is "bacterial SSU rRNA". It matches the Rfam family "Bacterial small subunit ribosomal RNA", at positions 505 to 922 of the family's 1533-position model. The record is from RNAcentral. Lineage: Bacteria; Bacillati; Bacillota; Bacilli; Caryophanales; Bacillaceae.
GUGCCAGCCGCCGCGGUAAUACGUAGGUGGCAAGCGUUAUCCGGAAUUAUUGGGCGUAAAGCGCGCGCAGGCGGUUUCUUAAGUCUGAUGUGAAAGCCCACGGCUCAACCGUGGAGGGUCAUUGGAAACUGGGGAACUUGAGUGCAGAAGAGAAAAGCGGAAUUCCACGUGUAGCGGUGAAAUGCGUAGAGAUGUGGAGGAACACCAGUGGCGAAGGCGGCUUUUUGGUCUGUAACUGACGCUGAGGCGCGAAAGCGUGGGGAGCAAACAGGAUUAGAUACCCUGGUAGUCCACGCCGUAAACGAUGAGUGCUAAGUGUUAGAGGGUUUCCGCCCUUUAGUGCUGCAGCUAACGCAUUAAGCACUCCGCCUGGGGAGUACGGUCGCAAGACUGAAAUUCAAAGGAAUUGGCGGGGGCCC